RNAcentral lists this transfer RNA (80 nucleotides) under Blyttiomyces helicus. It matches the Rfam family "tRNA". From Rfam's summary of the family: Transfer RNA (tRNA) molecules are approximately 80 nucleotides in length. Their secondary structure includes four short double-helical elements and three loops (D, anti-codon, and T loops). The record is from Rfam by way of RNAcentral. Lineage: Eukaryota; Fungi; Chytridiomycota; Chytridiomycetes.
GCAACCAUAGUGUAGUGGUCAACAUGCUCGCCUUCCAUGGUUGAUAGCGAGCGGCCCGGGUUCGAGCCCCGGUGGUUGCA